CAGAGAAUAGUUUAUUUAAAAUAUUAAUUUUGGAGAUUAAUGAAAAAAGUUUUUUUUCUCUGA
Molecule: transfer RNA, 63 nt
Filed under: Coleoptera sp. 27 KM-2017
Lineage: Eukaryota; Metazoa; Arthropoda; Insecta; Coleoptera
Description: tRNA-Pro
Source: RNAcentral